AUUGAACGCUGGCGGCAGGCCUAACACAUGCAAGUCGAGCGGAGCGGGGGACGGGUGAGUAAUGCCUAGGAAUCUGCCUUGUUGUGGGGGAUAACGUUCGGAAACGGGCGCUAAUAACGCCUACCAUUAGAUGAGCCUAGGGCGGAUUAGCUAUUUGGUGGGGUACAGGCCUAACCAGGUGACGAUCCGUAACUGGUCUGAGAGGAUGAUCAGUCACACUGGAACUGAGACACGGUCCAGACUCCUACGGGAGGCAGCAGUGGGGAAUAUUGGACAAUGGGCGAAAGCCUGAUCCAGCCAUGCCGCGUGUGUGAAGAAGGUCUUCGGAUUGUAAAGCACUUUAAGUUGGGAGGCGUUACCAACAGAAUAAGCACCGGCUAACUUCGUGCCAGCAGCCGCGGUAAUAC
Molecule: ribosomal RNA, 407 nt
Filed under: uncultured bacterium
Lineage: Bacteria
Description: partial 16S ribosomal RNA
Rfam family: Bacterial small subunit ribosomal RNA
Source: RNAcentral